CUGGCUCAGGAUGAACGCUGGCGGCGUGCCUAAUACAUGCAAGUCGAACGCGCUGUGGCAAUUAUUGAGAAGCUUGCUUCAAUUUAAUUGCAAUGCAGCGAGUGGCGAACGGGUGAGUAACACGUGGGAAACCUACCUCUUAGCAGGGGAUAACAUUUGGAAACAGAUGCUAAUACCGUAUAAUAACUUUUACCGCAUGGUGAAAGUUUGAAAGAUGGUUCUGCUAUCACUAAGAGAUGGUCCCGCGGUGUAUUAGCUAGAUGGUGAGGUAAUGGCUCACCAUGGCGAUGAUACAUAGCCGAGUUGAGAGACUGAUCGGCCACAUUGGAACUGAGACACGGUCCAAACUCCUACGGGAGGCAGCAGUAGGGAAUCUUCCACAAUGGACGAAAGUCUGAUGGAGCAACGCCGCGUGUGUGAUGAAGGGUUUCGGCUCGUAAAACACUGUUAUAAGAGAAGAACGUCAGUGAGAGUAACUGUUCAUUGAGUGACGGUAUCUUAUCAGAAAGGGACGGCUAAAUACGUGCCAGCAGCCGCGGUAAUACGUAUGUCCCAAGCGUUAUCCGGAUUUAUUGGGCGUAAAGCGAGCGCAGGCGGUUAUUUAAGUCUGAUGUGAAAGCCUACGG
RNAcentral lists this ribosomal RNA (626 nucleotides) under uncultured bacterium. RNAcentral's name for it is "bacterial SSU rRNA". It matches the Rfam family "Bacterial small subunit ribosomal RNA", at positions 19 to 607 of the family's 1533-position model. The record is from RNAcentral.